GACGUAGGGUCCAAGCAUUAUCCGGAAUUAUUGGGUGUAAAGGGUGUGUAGGUGGUUCGUUUCGUCCUUGGUUAAAGCCUCCGGCUCAACCGGAGAAAUGCCAAGGAAACUGGCGAACUUAGAGGUCAGCAGGGGCAAAUGGAAUUCCCGGUGUAGGGGUGAAAUCCGUUGAUAUCGGGAGGAACACCAGUGGCGAAGGCGAUUUGCUAGGCUGAAACUGACACUGAAACACGAAAGCGUGGGGAGCGAAAGGG
This 254-nucleotide ribosomal RNA is filed under the name uncultured bacterium. RNAcentral's name for it is "partial 16S ribosomal RNA". It matches the Rfam family "Bacterial small subunit ribosomal RNA", at positions 524 to 776 of the family's 1533-position model. The record is from RNAcentral.